RNAcentral lists this ribosomal RNA (301 nucleotides) under uncultured bacterium. RNAcentral describes it as "partial 16S ribosomal RNA". It matches the Rfam family "Bacterial small subunit ribosomal RNA", at positions 509 to 807 of the family's 1533-position model. The record is from RNAcentral.
CAGCAGCCACGGUGAUACGGAGGGUGCAAGCGUUAAUCGGAAUUACUGGGCGUAAAGCGUGCGUAGGCGGUUCGUUAAGUCUGUUGUGAAAGCCCCGGGCUCAACCUGGGAAUGGCAAUGGAUACUGGCGAGCUAGAGUGUGUCAGAGGAUGGUGGAAUUCCCGGUGUAGCGGUGAAAUGCGUAGAGAUCGGGAGGAACAUCUGUGGCGAAGGCGGCCAUCUGGGACAACACUGACGCUGAGGCACGAAAGCGUGGGGAGCAAACAGGAUUAGAUACCCGCGUAGUCCCUGUCUCUUAUAC